ACAAUGGAGAGUUUGAUCCUGGCUCAGGAUGAACGCUAGCGGCAGGCCUAACACAUGCAAGUCGAGGGGCAUCACGAGGUAGCAAUACUUUGGUGGCGACCGGCGCACGGGUGCGUAACG
Molecule: ribosomal RNA, 120 nt
Filed under: Alistipes onderdonkii
Lineage: Bacteria; Pseudomonadati; Bacteroidota; Bacteroidia; Bacteroidales; Rikenellaceae
Also listed under: 1 other name
Description: partial 16S ribosomal RNA
Rfam family: Bacterial small subunit ribosomal RNA
Source: RNAcentral